GGAUAUUACACUUUGGAUCUUAUAAAUAUAUAAAUGUAAAAUGUGUAAAAAUAAACAAUCGCCUAGCGACUUCAGACGCAUUCUGCAAUUAUUGCUGAGAAAUGCCCUUCAAUUCUAAUGCUCGGAAAAUCUUCGAAAUCGAGUAAAUAAAGGCGGCGGUGCGUAAAUCAUUGCAGUGGUGAAUACCAUCAAAAUUGGCGUAGUAAGUGGGUAGGGGGUUUCUUCCCCUUGCCCACCCACCCUCGAACAACAGGAACAACAGGAACAACAGCAACAGAAGCAGCAGCAGCAUAACAGCAUAACCUGUAAAAAGAAAAAAGAAAGAAAAAAAAUAGUAUAAAAAAGGGCAUAAAUACACACAUGAUCAUGCAUAAUGGUAUACCAAAAGACAUAUGUACACAUUAUGCGCGUCUGUUUGUUAUAUAUACAUAGUGCAUAUAAACAAGUUGAGAAUUCAUGAGAAUUAUCUCAAUGAUCGCAUCAUGUAGUAAACGCAUGCCAUAUGCCAUCUGCCACAUCAGCUGUUAGCAGCGCAUGUGUAAUAUUGUACGGGUACCUCCAUCUAUAUGUGAAAAAUCCAUCCACCAAUCAUCUCAAUGAUCAUGCAUAAACGCAUGCCAUAUGCCAUCUGCCACAUCAGCUGUUAGCAGCACAUGUGUAAUAAUGUACGGGUACCUCCAUCUAUAUGUGAAAAAUCCAUCCACCAAUCAUCUCAAUGAUCAUGCAUAAACGCAUGCCAUAUGCCAUCUGCCACAUCAGCUGUUAGCAGCACAUGUGUAACAUUGUAUGGGUAUCCAUCUAUAUGUGAAAAUUCUAUCAUAAUCAUAUGUUGAUAAAUGUAUAACAAAUUCUAUCAUAUGUUGAUAAAUGUAUAACAAAUUUGAAUAAUAGGGUGCAUAGCCUCUCACUAGUUUUGGACGCACUCUGUUAAUAUCCAUAUAUGUACAUAUGUCCGAAAAACAAUGAAAGACGUAUAUUGUGCUAAUACAAUUUAUAAUAUUUGUCUUUAUUCGAUUUUAUAUGGUUUAGCUAAUUUUAUAUUUUAAAUGUUAGUUUUAUACAAAGGUUGUCGAUUUAAUCAACUGCUUGCUGCGGAUGGAUGGUGAAAAACGAAUGAAGAUACGUGAAUCGGAACGCAGGUCGAAAAAGAAGAAAUCGCGGGUAUCAUUGACGAUCCUUUCUAUUCCCUUUUGUGUGGUGUACGGUGUUGUUAUGUGUGUGGGUGUGUUGAUGUGACAGUUUUCUUCUGUUCUGUGGUGAGUGUGGUGAAUGUUAUGUAUCAGUGGUGUGGAUUUGGAUAAAUGUUGUGUGCCAGUGUGGUAUGUUGAUGCUUAGUGAGUGUGGAUGAAUGUUACAGUUGGGGGUUGAGCCAGACUCAUUUAAACAUCCCGGCCCCCCUAGGCGAAUGUUUUAGCCUAGCAGUCGCUGUAGUUGUUAUAGCGUACCUACAAGGCUACUAAGGCUUGUGUUGCGCCAAGACUGUGAUCCGAAUUGGUCGUCAAGUUGAUCGACAAUAUAUGGUAAUUUUUGUGUUAGUUUGAAUGGAUUAUUCGUUACGGACUUAUUCGACUGUCCUUGUGUAUGCACUAAUGUAUGUUGUUGCGCGUAUGAGAGCUCGUGAUAGAGAUCAAUGGCUUUUUUACAUUGCAUUAUUACUUUUGGAUUACUUAUUAUGGACUUAUUCGACUGUCCUUGUGUAUGCACUAAUGUAUGUUGUUGCGCGUAUGAGAGCUCGUGAUAGAGAUCAAUGGCUUUUUUACAUAUGUGUGCAUGUAUGUGCAUAUAUUUAAGAAAAUAUAAUAUGGUUUGUGCAAUCCGGCUUGUUUUUCAUUAAACAUGUUUAAAAAUGUUUGUAGGGUGUUGAGGAAUAGACAGAUUAUAUGUAGUAUAAAUGUUAGUAUGUUUGCGCGAUAAGAAGAGCGUGAAAACGGAAUAGGUAAUAUGCGGUUAUUUUAUCCACUGCACCUUUUCAUUACUUAUUGGUUACUAUGCAGCUUACUGCUUUCAGAAGCUGAAGGCGUAUCGCCGGAACAUAUUGCAAGUGUCCAUGUGCAUAUUUAUAUACUUGAAUAUGUUUUUUAUAUGUGUUAUGUAUAUUUAUAUACAAAUGUAAGCGCAUUGGCAAUUUGUGGUGUAUAUAUGUAUAUGUUAUUUUAUCUAAGCCGAAUUUUUGCAUAUAAAUAAAUAAAAUCUGGAAUCGAUACAACUCAAUUUAUACCGCUUAAAGAGGUAUGGGAAUGUGUAUAGAUUGUGAGUUUAUAUUGCGUUUUCCGAUCCAAUUUAUUUGCUCCUAUUCUACAGGCUGCCAGCUGUUCUGUUGCUCGCUGUGCUUUGUUUCUGUUAUAAUGCAGCUGGAGGUGUGUAUAUUGUUGUUGUUAUUUUCGAGCCCGUUUUUGUUACAUUCACAUUAUGUUGAUUAUGUUAUGUUAAUGUUUAGUGCUUAGUUUACCGCCCGUUUGUUUUUGUAUUUAUGUUUGUUUUUUAUUUAUUUUUCUUCUGGACGAGUGAUACUUAUAUUGCAUACUUGUUUUGCACUGUUUCUUUCUUUUUGUUAUAAGUUUGUAUACUUAUAUGAUUGUGUAUAUUUAUACUCUCGCAACAAAAGUUGUUGUUUUAUUUAAAUAUUUUGCGCAGUUGUAUAUUUUAUUAUUGUGUUAGUCACUGCACAUUUAUUUUAUAAGAAUAUAUAUUCCGUUCACUGCAAUUAUUUUUUACUUUUCUUUUUGUAUUUCCGAAUUUUUGUCACCGCAUUUUAUGAUUUUAAUGUGUAUGUAUUUUAUUUGAUUUUUUGGUAGUAUCACCAAUAGUGCCUUUCAGUAAGGCUCGAAGGACCAUGAAUAAUAGGGUGCAUAGCCUCUCACUAGUUUUGGACGCACUCUGUUAAUAUCCAUAUAUGUACAUAUGUCCGAAAAACAAUGAAAGACGUAUAUUGUGCUAAUACAAUUUAUAAUAUUUGUCUUUAUUCGAUUUUAUAUGGUUUAGCUAAUUUUAUAUUUUAAAUGUUAGUUUUAUACAAAGGUUGUCGAUUUAAUCAACUGCUUGCUGCGGAUGGAUGGUGAAAAA
Molecule: long non-coding RNA, 3063 nt
Organism: Zeugodacus cucurbitae (melon fly)
Lineage: Eukaryota; Metazoa; Arthropoda; Insecta; Diptera; Tephritidae
Exons: 2
Source: RefSeq, a predicted model, not a curated record